This 1183-nucleotide long non-coding RNA is filed under the name Citrus sinensis (sweet orange). RNAcentral describes it as "long non-coding RNA (CSIN_LNC000902)". Lineage: Eukaryota; Viridiplantae; Streptophyta; Magnoliopsida; Sapindales; Rutaceae. The record is from RNAcentral.
UCAUCUCAACUUACUUUCAUUAACAACUGAGGUGACCGCUUAUGUAAGAAAGCCGGUCAUAACCUGAGGACAUAUAUUUUAAUAAUCAUAUAUGUGUAAUCAUGCCAAUUAGUAUUUUAUGAGAAUAAAUCAAAAUAAUUUUAUCACAUAAAGAAUUUAUUAAGUACAAGUUUCCUCAUAUUUUCUUUCUCAUCGAUCAGCACAGAUUCUUCUUUAUCUUUCUCACAUUUAUCUCCACUCUCUUCCUCUUUUGUAGCUACUUUAUUCUUCAUUUUUCAUCUUCACAUCUUAUCUUCUUCUUCUGUCAAAACCAAAUUUUCAAGUAUUUUUUGAAUCUUCACUCUAAUUUCUUUUGUCUCAUACAUAGCUCUACUUAAUUUUUGGGGUCAUCCAACAUUUUCUCAUUCCCCAUCUUUAUUUUUUCAGUUCUUAAACAAAAAAGUAUUUGAAAUCACUGUCUGCAGAUCUGUACCUGCUCCUGAAACAAGCAUGAGGGAAGGGUCAAGAAAGCAGUCUUUCCUCGAGGAAGCGACACCGUAUGAGCUUUUGAAGGAGCAAGGCUGCAAGUUCUUCUGGUGACUAAUCUCCCAUCGCUAGCCAAAACCCCAACCGGUGGCCAAAACAAGCAACCCGGGAGUGGAAAUAAAAAGAAGAAAUAUUUUUAAUUCAAUUAGGUUUCAUCCAAAUAUAGUAGAGACUGAAAGAUUAUAUAAAUAUAUAUUAAUUUUAGCAUAUUUUAUUCUCUUAAACGGCUCCCAAGUGAGCAAGUUGGAUCUUGAUCUCCGGUCCUGUAUAGUCUUUAGUUUCUUUUUUUCUUUUUCUUUUUUCCCAACUUAAAAGCAUGUGGGUAAGAGUUGUGGGGUUCUUGAAUCUGAGAGUAUAGCCUGGCCAUUUAAGUGUUUGCUGCACUUGUUCUUUAAAUAACGGAAAAUACAUGAAUUCAAAGCAAAUGAAAUUUUAAUGUACAAUUUUAUUUCCUUGUUACGGAGAAGACAUAACAAGAAAGUAAUUGGAGACGAGAGCGUGUAAUUAUGGUAAUAUUAUUUACCUUAAAAUUUUAUUGCUAACUUGUAAAUCAUAUUUAUUUAAAAAUUUAAUCGUAGUUAUGGAGAUUAAUCAAAUCAGUUUUAUAUUAUUUUUCAUUAUUUCAACUUUUUAAUUACAAUUAUGACUUAAAUGUUUA